This 281-nucleotide small nuclear RNA is filed under the name Echinops telfairi (small Madagascar hedgehog). Its description in RNAcentral is "7SK RNA (ENSETEG00000026433.1)". It matches the Rfam family "7SK RNA". Rfam says of the family: 7SK was discovered as an abundant small nuclear RNA in the mid-70s but a possible function has only recently been suggested. Two independent studies have found that 7SK RNA binds the CDK9/cyclin T complex (known as elongation factor P-TEFb). P-TEFb activates transcription by phosphorylating the C-terminal domain of RNA polymerase II. The record is from RNAcentral. Lineage: Eukaryota; Metazoa; Chordata; Mammalia; Afrosoricida; Tenrecidae.
GGACGCGAGGCUGAUCUGGUGGAGUCCUGCUACCCUAUUGUACGUCAGCGUUGAUCUGGCUGGUUAGGCAGGUGUCCCAUUCCUCUCUGAUUACUGCAUGUGUGUCCCUCCCAAAGCUCGGUGCUCUGUGGCAAAAGAAAACCUUCCCUGAUAGAGAAUUGUCCUUUGAUCAAGCACAGUCCUAAGUAACUGUUCUCCUCUGCUAAAACUUCCAAGCAAAAUCUCAAAGCCCCUCUGUUUGGGGAUAGAUUUCACUACCAUCAGGAGACUUCUGGCAAGAU